This is a long non-coding RNA of Puntigrus tetrazona (Sumatra barb), 599 nucleotides long. RefSeq lists it as uncharacterized. Lineage: Eukaryota; Metazoa; Chordata; Actinopteri; Cypriniformes; Cyprinidae. The transcript has 3 exons. The record is from RefSeq and is a predicted model, not a curated record.
CCCACAUGCGCAUCACAGCAAUUUACCCAGCAGAAAAUAUUGCAAACAGGUUUCUCACGUCUGGCAGGUUGAAGAGCUGCUGUCCGAAAUUCGGGUUUCCCUCGGAAUCGAGUCUGUAUGAUUCUCCGACUCGAGUCUUCGCAGACGUUUCUGGCUGAUGUCGUGAAAUGUCGCAGAACAAGACUCAAGCUCCGUCUUCUGCGAUGUUACGAGGGCACUGCCUGCAUGUCAACUUGGCCACUUCCCUUGGACAGCCAGCCAAGGAAUACAGACACAACAAUUGCAGACCAUCUCUAUCAAGCCAGAGCACAACAAUACAACAUCUCCCUGUGUGUUCCCAACCAAUGUGAGUAUUUUAAAGAGUCUGAAGCCCAUUUGGAGCAGCUCACUUCAGCCAGAUGCUGCCUGCCCUGUUAUAGCUCCCCCUAGCAGCUGCCUCCAUAUUUCCUUGUUUAUGCUAACCAUGAUAUCUAUCCUCACCCUAUACAGACACCAUGCCAAGACCUGUAAAAAUCCAUACACUGGCAUGCAUUAGGGCCAAUGUACAUCCCAAUGAGCCCAUCCAUCCAUUAGUGGCCUGGCCAUUAGAAAACACAGCU